UACGUAGGGGGCAAGCGUUGUCCGGAUUCACUGGGCGUAAAGAGCGUGUAGGCGGCCAAGCAGGUCCGUUGUGAAAACUGGAGGCUUAACCUCCAGACGUCGACGGAAACCGCGUGGCUAGAGUCCGGAAGAGGAGAGUGGAAUUCCUGGUGUAGCGGUGAAAUGCGCAGAUAUCAGGAAGAACACCAAUGGCGAAGGCAGCUCUCUGGGACGGUACUGACGCUGAGACGCGAAAGCGUGGGGAGCGAACAGG
RNAcentral lists this ribosomal RNA (253 nucleotides) under uncultured bacterium. RNAcentral's name for it is "partial 16S ribosomal RNA". It matches the Rfam family "Bacterial small subunit ribosomal RNA", at positions 524 to 776 of the family's 1533-position model. The record is from RNAcentral.